UGGCGAGUAGCUCAAUGGUAGAGCAAGUUUUCCUUGUUCAUUCCUUGCCUUAUGGGCCGAAGAAUGAGGAUUAUCGUUUUGGAUACGACCAUUCGGGGGUUCGAUUCCCUCCUCGCCAC
This 119-nucleotide transfer RNA is filed under the name Prochloron sp. SP5CPC1. RNAcentral's name for it is "tRNA-OTHER". It matches the Rfam family "tRNA". Rfam says of the family: Transfer RNA (tRNA) molecules are approximately 80 nucleotides in length. Their secondary structure includes four short double-helical elements and three loops (D, anti-codon, and T loops). Lineage: Bacteria; Bacillati; Cyanobacteriota; Cyanophyceae; Chroococcales; Prochloraceae. The record is from RNAcentral.